Molecule: long non-coding RNA, 478 nt
Organism: Ochotona curzoniae (black-lipped pika)
Lineage: Eukaryota; Metazoa; Chordata; Mammalia; Lagomorpha; Ochotonidae
Exons: 2
Source: RefSeq, a predicted model, not a curated record
UUGAUUGUACCAUGUAAAACAUAUGUUUGAAACAUGUUUGCUCUUGAGUCCUGGCAAUGGUUGCUGAUUUGGAAACAUCAGCGUUGACACUCAUUAUCAACUGGCUGGUCUCAGUCUGUGCAGACUGUGGAUUUCUCCUUCAUAGAGCAAUGGCAAAUAGACCACAGAUACCUUCCCUUGCCUUACUCUGGAAUAUGAUACUAAUUCCCCACAGUUUACUAUAUGCCUUGGAACGAGUUGAAAAGACACCUACAUGCCCUCAUCCAUGGGGUGAGAUGGGCACAUGGACUCAACGUCAGUGGGGAUAGCAAUGCUUUUCCUCAUUCAAGAUAUCCAGUGCUGCACGAGCUGCUGCAAAUUCCAUUCACACCUAAGAAGAUUUCAAGCCUUUCAUAGCUCCAGUUUUAAGAAACUAGCAAUAGGUUUUGACAUAAAAAAAUAUAUGAAGUAUACAUGGGGAUAAAAGAAUGUUUUGAAA